CUUCAGCGAGCCCAGCCACAGCGGCGCGGACUCGGCCCGCUCCUGGCCGUAGGUGGCGAGCAGCGCCUGGGCCUC
Molecule: non-coding RNA, 75 nt
Organism: Saccharothrix sp. ST-888
Lineage: Bacteria; Bacillati; Actinomycetota; Actinomycetes; Pseudonocardiales; Pseudonocardiaceae
Rfam family: ASpks TB sRNA
Source: Rfam